Molecule: long non-coding RNA, 1834 nt
Organism: Mauremys reevesii (Reeves's turtle)
Lineage: Eukaryota; Metazoa; Chordata; Testudines; Geoemydidae
Exons: 7
Source: RefSeq, a predicted model, not a curated record
GAACAGUCCUCAGCUUUCUGCCUCCUGUAUAAAUGGCUGUGAGUAAGCGGAAAAGUCGUCAUGUGCCAGUCUACUGCCCUUAUGUGAUGGAAAGCGAGCGAGAGCGAUGAGACCAUGAGCAUGGUUGAUGCCACACAAAAGCCAUCCAUCUGGCAGCAGAAGAGCCAUCACUGUCAGUGAGAUAAGUAUCUGUUUUGGUGAGGGCUCUGCUCAUGGCCCACGUUGAUGCUGGUAGGGAUGCCCCAUUAGCUAGGGCUGGGUUUGUAAGAAAAGGUUCCUGACUAGCUGUGGUUGUAAGAGAGACAAGGUUCCCAAUUUCAGGGGCUGAUGAUUCCUUUGGUCAGGAGCAGUGUGUCCUAAGCAGCAGAAGGUAGCAUCUAGAGGAUGACUCCAGGUAUCGAGUUAUUUGCCUUCCUCCCACGUUUCUCUGUCUUCUCUAUUGUGUUGGCCAACACUCUCGCUCUUUCAUUCUCCCUUCCUUGCCUUUCCUGGUGCCAUCUCCCUAUGUAGGAUGCAGGAAAAGGGUGCUAGGUGUGCAUCCACACAGUCUGUCUUUGGGACCCAUGAAGACUUAGGAGGGUAUGAAAAUCAUGCAUAUUAGUGGGUGCCACAGUGGAGCAAUGUCUGUCGGUGUUGACUUGGUCUUUAAUCAUCGCCUGGGGCUGAUGUAGACCAAAUGAGAGAGGGAGGCAGAGAUUACGGCAAGAUUUCACAUACCUUCAGAGCUUUGUGUAAUGCUGACUCACCCUUGGCUUUUGCAACUGCACUGCAGAGGAAUUGUCCAGGAGCGCUGUCUGGAGGAGAGACUCUCAAAAGUGGACCUGAACAUCCUUCUAAGCAGACGUGAACAGUCCUCAGCUUUCUGCCUCCUGCAUAACUGGCUUACCAAGGGAAAAGAAGUCACGUAUCAGUCUACUGUCCUCAUGCGAAGGAAAGCGAGACCGACGAGACCGCGAUCAUUGUCAAAAUCAGGCAUUAUCUGUACAUCUGGGAGCGGAGCAGUCACCGCUGUCAGUGAGAUAAAUGUCUGGUUUGGUGAGGGAUCUGCUCAUGGCCCACCUGGCUCCAGAGGAAUCAUCCAGGAGCCCUCACCGGACGAGAAUAUGCAGAAGUGGACCUCAGCAGCCUGGACAUCCUUCUAAGGAGACAUGAAUAUUCCUCAUCUUUCUGCCUUUUGCAUAGCUGCCUUACCAAGGAAAAAGAAGUCACGGUCAGAGUCUACUGUCCUCAUGCGAUGGAAAGCGAGCGAGAGCGAUGAGACCACGAGCAUUGUCGAAAUCAAGCAUUAGCUGCGCAUCUGGGAGCGGAGCAGCUACUGCUGUCAGGGAGAUAAGUGUCUGUUCUGGUGAGAGCUCUGCUCACGGCCCACCUGGCUCCAGCUGUUCUUGCAGAGGAAUUGUCCAGGAGCCCUAUCUGGAGAAGGAAGAGGCAGAAGUGGACCUGAGCAGCUUGGACAUCCUUUUAAGCAGACACGAACAGUCCUCAGCUUUAUCUCUUGCAUAACUGGCUUACCAAGUGAAAAGAAGUCAGUCUACUGCCCUCAUGCGAUGGAAAGCGAGCGAGAGCGACGAGACCUCGAGCAUUGUUCAUGCCAGGCAAGAGCCGUCCAUCUGGGAGCGGAACAGCUGCCACUGUCACUGAGAAGUGUCUGUUUUGCUGAGGGUUCUGCUCACGGCCCACAUGGCUCCAGGUAGGGACACCCCAUUAGCUGGGGCUGGAUUUAUAAGAAAAUGUUCCUCACUAGCUUUGGUUAUGAGGGAGACAAGGUCCUCAUUUCUGUGUCCAGUAGCUGUGUUCCCUCCUCAGCAGAAGAUUGGAUCCAGGAGGAUGACAC